UACAGAGGGCCCAAGCGUUGUUCGGAUUCAUUGGGCGUAAAGGGUGUGUAGGCGGCGCGGUAAGUCGGGUGUGAAAUCUCGGAGCUUAACUCCGAAACUGCAUUCGAUACUGCCGUGCUUGAGGACUGGAGAGGAGACUGGAAUUUACGGUGUAGCGGUGAAAUGCGUAGAUAUCGUAAGGAAGACCAGUGGCGAAGGCGGGUCUCUGGACAGUUCCUGACGCUGAGGCACGAAGGCCAGGGGAGCAAACGGG
Molecule: ribosomal RNA, 253 nt
Filed under: uncultured bacterium
Lineage: Bacteria
Description: partial 16S ribosomal RNA
Rfam family: Bacterial small subunit ribosomal RNA
Source: RNAcentral